GAUGAACGCUAGCUACAGGCUUAACACAUGCAAGUCGAGGGGCAGCACAAGGUAGCAAUACUGAGGUGGCGACCGGCGCACGGGUGAGUAACACGUAUCCAACCUACCAUUUACUCUUGGAUAGCCUUUCUGAAAAGGAGAUUAAUACAAGAUAGCAUCACGAGAAUUCAUGUUCACGUGAUUAAAGAAUUUCGGUAAAUGAUGGGGAUGCGUUCCAUUAGAUAGUAGGCGGGUAACGCCCACUAGUCUACGAUGGAUAGGGGUUCUGAGAGGAAGGUCCCCCCAAACUGGUACUGAGACAUGGACCAGACUCCUACGGGAGCAGCAGUGAGGAAUA
This 337-nucleotide ribosomal RNA is filed under the name uncultured bacterium. RNAcentral describes it as "bacterial SSU rRNA". It matches the Rfam family "Bacterial small subunit ribosomal RNA", at positions 28 to 363 of the family's 1533-position model. The record is from RNAcentral.